UAACUUCUUUAGGAAAAAAAGGUGGCAAGUUUCAGAACAUAUCACUUAAGAGAUCUAAUUUACAUGCACCUGUGUUGUAGAAUGAAGGAAAAAGUUUAAAGUUUUUUUUUUUUAUAAAAAAAGAAGUCAAUAAGCUGUUGAAUUGUUUCAAAAACUCACAGUACUAUACAAUUAUCAGAUGUGAAUUGGGUUAGACCAGUGGCGAUUCCCCACCUCCAAAUUUUAUAUAUGACAUGGGUAAUUUUAUGAUGUGAGCCCCACCAAAUACGUCAUUUAAAUGAAAUUAUAAAUCAAAUCUUUCUUAUACAUAAAGCUAAUGAAAAUUUUGCUAGAAACAUGCAACUUGUUCAAUGGCUCUUUUUAAUAUGCUAGAGACCAAAAUCUCACAUUAGUUUAAUCAGGGCAUUCUUCUCUUUGAACUGUGCAAGCCAUGGCUCCACAGAUAUCAAUCAUGAAGAAAUUAUGACAACCACUGGGAUCUCUCUCUCUCUCUCAGAGAGAGAGACAGCAAACAGGUUCAUGCAGAGGACUUGAUGGAUAUGGGGACUUACAGCCUAUUUGGGCAGAAAGUCACGCCUGAGACUACUCGGUCCAAAUUGGUAUGGUCUUAUCCAAAAAGUAAAUAACAUAGA
This 632-nucleotide long non-coding RNA is filed under the name Phoenix dactylifera (date palm). Its description in RNAcentral is "long non-coding RNA (PDAC_LNC020296)". Lineage: Eukaryota; Viridiplantae; Streptophyta; Magnoliopsida; Arecales; Arecaceae. The record is from RNAcentral.